GUUGGCGAGUGUGAAGAGAGAGGAGGAGCGUUUGCGGCCUCAGCGUCUGUCAACAGGUGAGCGUUUCCUGGAGCUUUUCUGAGUGGCUCCUGACCCUUGAGGUCCAGCGGCGCGGGAGUCCGUUGUGAACGUUGCGAACGUUCGGAGUGGCGGUCACGAGGCGCGCUCAGACCUCGGGAAUCCGGCCGGGUUCGGAUCCCGCUUUCGCCCCCGAGGGGUUCGGAUCCCGCUCUCGCCCCCGAGGGGUUCGGAUCCCGCUCUCGCCCCCGAGGGGUUCGGAUCCCGCUCUCGCCCCCGAGGGGUUUGGAUCCCUCUCUCGCCCCCUUGAGGGCUCUUGGGAGGUUUCAAGCGGACGGUACUGAAAAUGGGAGUUCCAGUUCGGGGGCAGACCAGUGUUCAGAGUCCGGGCUCUGCUACUCAGCGCCCGAGGCAGCGCCUCCCCAUUCAACGGGGGCCGUGGCAAUUCCCUGACAUGAUUCAUGACCACAUAAUACAUCCGGAAACUUCUCUCCACCGCCUCCCGUCUGGGCCGUCGCCCCCGGCCUGGGAGACUCCAGGUCUCAGAGUCUCUGCCCCCACGGGCGAUCAGUGCUGCCCAGUGGAAAAAUAAUGCCAGCCGCGCACCAAAAUUAGGUGUAAAAUUAACAUUUUUUGGAAGCCACUUUUUUUUUUUUGAGAUGGAAUCUCGCGCUGUCACUCAGGCUGGAGUGCAAUGGCGCGAUCUCGGCUCACUGCAACCUCUACCUCCCGGGUUCAAGCGAUUCUCCUGCCUCAGCCUCCUGAGUAGCUGGGAUUACAGGUGCCCACCACCACAACCAGCUAAUUUUUUUUCUGUAUUUUCAGUAGAGACGGGGUUUCACCAUGUUGGCCAGGCUGGUCUCGAACUCCUGACCUCAAGUGAUCCGCCCGCCUCGGCCUUCCAGAGUGCUGGGAUUACAGGCGUGAGCCACUGUGCCCGGCCAUAUCUUUUUUUAUUAUUAUUUGUAAUUUUAGAGGCUGGUCAUGGAGGAUUUCUUGAGGCCAGGAGUUCAAGAUCAGCCUGGGCAACAUAACAAGACCUCAUAUCUACAAAAAAUAAAAGAAUAAGCCAGGUGUGGUAGUGCAUACCUGUAGUGUCUGCUACUCCUGAAGCUGAGGCAGGAGGAUCUCUUGAGCCCAGAAUGCUCCAGCCACUGCACUCCAGCCUGAGUGUCAGAGUGAGACCCUGUCUCUAAAAAUUAAAAUUAAAUUUUAAAAAAGAAAGUUCAGUUUAGCUGUCUUGAUAGCCGCAGUUGAGUGCUCCUGAGCCCGUGUGACAAGUGGCUCCUGUAUUACUGGACAGCGAAGGUCAGAAACACAUUUGACCAGGUCACUUCUCCGGAUGAGAGCAUUGUCUUUGAAACUCUAUGCUUUGUCUCCUGUUAACCACCCAGCUCCAACUUCAAACCAGGCUAAGUAACCCUCUUUUUGUUAAAAUUCUGACAAGCCACUCCCAGUGCAAAGCCUCUGCCCAGAACCUCUUCUCCUAGGCUCUUGGCAUGGCUUAUGCCUUCUUGUCAUUCAAGUCUCUGUUCAAAUGUCCUCUCCCCAGAGAGGCCUUUCUAAGGGUGCUCUGGACAGUGUUCAAACUCACAGGCCGUACGCCUGAACAGCACUGAGCCAAGGCACUAGUAUUUCUUACCCAGUCACCUCUGUGGGCUCACUAGGACUCACUCACUGUGCUAGUAUGUUUUCCUUUUCCUUUUCUUUUUAAACAAUCCAGUUCCUGUGGGAUUUUUUUUUUUUAAUAGAGGUCUGUUGCCCAGGCUGGAGUGCAAGUGGCAUAAUCGUGGCUCACUAUAACCUGGAACUCUUGGGCUCAAGUGAUCCUCCCACCUCAGCCUCCCGAGUGGCUGGGAUCACCAGUGCGUGCCACCAUGCCUAAUUUGUUUUAUUUUAUUUUAUUUUUUUUUUGAGAGGGAGUCUUGCUCUGUCACUCAGGCUGGAAUGCAGUGGCGCAAUCUCAGCUCACUGCAACCUCCUGCUUCCAGCUUCAAGCGAUUCUCCCACCUCAGCCUCCCGAGUAGCUGGGACUACAGGCACACGCUACCUUACCCAGCUAAUUUUUGUAUUUUUAGUAAAGAUGGGGUUUCACUAUGUUGGCCAGGCUGGUCUCAAACUCCUGACCUCAGGUGAUCCACUCACCUCGGCCGCCCAAAGUGCUGAGAUU
This 2188-nucleotide long non-coding RNA is filed under the name Homo sapiens (human). Its description in RNAcentral is "non-protein coding lnc-MISP3-1:1". Lineage: Eukaryota; Metazoa; Chordata; Mammalia; Primates; Hominidae. The record is from RNAcentral.